Long non-coding RNA from Uranotaenia lowii, 624 nucleotides. RefSeq lists it as uncharacterized. The transcript has 3 exons. NCBI's taxonomy places the organism in Eukaryota, Metazoa, Arthropoda, Insecta, Diptera, Culicidae. The record is from RefSeq and is a predicted model, not a curated record.
UGUACAUUAAAACAAAAUCCAAUUUCCUUGAUUCAAGUAAAUUUUAUAUUGAACCGAACUUUUUUCCCAUAAAACCAAUGUUCCGAAUUUUUAAAUCAAAAUAUUUAAUUUGAAUUCAAAGAAUUUUUUUUUAACUCAGAAUCAAAGUAAAAGUUCAUUGUUUUAGAUGAAUUUUCUUUUGAACCAAAGUAAUUUUUCGUCAAACAGUCGACACAUCUUCAUUAUUAGCUUCUGUUAGGUGAACGGGUCGGCGAGAAGCUUUCCCGACAACCAGCCAGACCUAUUCAUUUUCUCCGGAAUCUUCCUGCCGCGCAACCACCAGACAGCACCGAAAUCACAAGACGUACCCGGCGUAGGAAAGUUUCGACAGCUUUGAGAGGACAAACGACAGUGGACUCUUAGGGCAAUCAUUCAUCAAACUAAUUGGAAGAGGUAACUGUAUACCGACUGUUCCGGUCCUCCAACUAUGCGGUUGCAAUCGCUUCGGGCCGAUCCAAGAAGACUCAACAUCUGGCGCCGAAACCCUUCAUCAGUUGUUCGGGUGCAAACAAACAUCGUCCAAUGAACCGGUUCAAGAACUCUUAUCCUGUGGAAAAUCGAUAAUCUAAAUGAAGUACUUUAAGA